Long non-coding RNA from Gallus gallus (chicken), 790 nucleotides. RefSeq lists it as uncharacterized. Lineage: Eukaryota; Metazoa; Chordata; Aves; Galliformes; Phasianidae. The record is from RefSeq and is a predicted model, not a curated record. The transcript has 3 exons.
CUGACUAUUGCAGCUGAAAAUGCGUGCCAAGUCUGCAGACACAGAGGAAUAACUUUUCCAUGUAGGUUGAGCUUGUCUAAGCUUUUGUGGUACAAAGAAGCACGGCAAGGUGAUGGAACAGCUUGUCCUAGAUGCCAUGGCCAAGCAGUUGGAGAAGAAGAAGAUCAUCAGGAAUAGUCAGCAUGGAUUUAGCAAGGGGAAAGUGUGCUUGAGCAACCUCCUAGGCUUCUGUGAGGCAUCAGCAGCUAUAUAGAUGGCGGGAGAGCAAUGGAUGUAGUCUACGUUGACUUCAGCACUGCUUUUGAUGCAGUCUCCCACGACAUCCUGGCCUCAGCUGGAGUACUGCAUCCAGGUCUGGGCUCCUUGGUACAAAACAGACGGGGAUCUCCUGGAGAGAGUCCAGCAGAAGGCCACAAAGAUGAUCGAGGGCCUGGAGCAUCUCCCCAGUGUGGAAAGUCUGCGUGACCUGGGUCUGUUCAGCCUUGCGGAAAGAAGACUGAGAGGGGAUCUUAAUAAUGUUUCUAAGUAUCGGAAGCGUGGGAGUCAAAAGGACAUGGCCAGCCUUUUUGCAGUGGUCUGUGGGGUCAGGAGAGGGGGGAAAUGGCCCUAAACUGGAGUACAGGAAGUUCUGCACCGACGUGAGAAGGAACUUGUUCACAGUGAGGUGACGGAGCACUGGAACAGGCUGCCCAGGGAGGCUGUGGAUUCUCCUUCCCUGGAGAUACUCCAGACCCAGCUGGAUGCCCACCUGUGCAGCCUGCUGUAUGGAACCUGUUGAGCAGAGGGGGGA